GGAUUGUGGCUCAAUGGCAGAGUGCUCCCCUACCAUGCAUGAGGCACUGGGUUCGAUCCUCAGCACCA
This 68-nucleotide transfer RNA is filed under the name Marmota monax (woodchuck). RNAcentral's name for it is "tRNA.Gly". The record is from RNAcentral. Lineage: Eukaryota; Metazoa; Chordata; Mammalia; Rodentia; Sciuridae.